AUUGAACGCUGGCGGCAGGCUUAACACAUGCAAGUCGAACGAUGAACCGGAGCUUGCUCUGGGGAUUAGUGGCGAACGGGUGAGUAACACGUGGGCAACCUGCCCCAGACACCGGGAUAACCAUUCGAAAGGAUGGCUAAUACCGGAUACGACCACUUCGGGCAUCCGAUGGUGGUGGAAAGGAUUCUGGUCUGGGAUGGGCCCGCGGCCUAUCAGCUUGUUGGGGGGAUAAUGGCCUACCAAGGCGACGACGGGUGGCCGGCCUGAGAGGGCGACCGGCCACACUGGGACUGAGACACGGCCCAGACUCCUACGGGAGGCAGCAGUGGGGAAUAUUGCGCAAUGGGCGAAAGCCUGACGCAGCGACGCCGCGUGAGGGACGAAGGUCUUCGGAUUGUAAACCUCUUUCAGCAGGGAUGAAGCGAAAGUGACAGUACCUGCAGAAGAAGCACCGGCUAACUACGUGCCAGCCGCCGCAGUAA
Molecule: ribosomal RNA, 482 nt
Filed under: uncultured bacterium
Lineage: Bacteria
Description: partial 16S ribosomal RNA
Rfam family: Bacterial small subunit ribosomal RNA
Source: RNAcentral